UACGUAGGGUGCGAGCGUUAAUCGGAAUUACUGGGCGUAAAGCGUGCGCAGGCGGUUUUGUAAGACUGUCGUGAAGUCCCCGGGCUCAACCUGGGAAUGGCGAUGGUGACUGCAAGGCUAGAGUUUGGCAGAGGGGGGUAGAAUUCCACGUGUAGCAGUGAAAUGCGUAGAUAUGUGGAGGAACACCGAUGGCGAAGGCAGCCCCCUGGGUCAAAACUGACGCUCAUGCACGAAAGCGUGGGGAGCAAACAGG
This 253-nucleotide ribosomal RNA is filed under the name uncultured bacterium. Its description in RNAcentral is "partial 16S ribosomal RNA". It matches the Rfam family "Bacterial small subunit ribosomal RNA", at positions 524 to 776 of the family's 1533-position model. The record is from RNAcentral.